CCUACGGGAGGCAGCAGUCGAGAAUCAUUCACAAUGGGGGAAACCCUGAUGGUGCGACGCCGCGUGGGGGAAUGAAGGUCUUCGGAUUGUAAACCCCUGUCAUGUGGGAGCAAAUUAAAAAGAUAGUACCACAAGAGGAAGAGACGGCUAACUCUGUGCCAGCAGCCGCGGUAAUACAGAGGUCUCAAGAGUUGUUCGGAAUCACUGGGCGUAACGCGUGCGUAGGCUGUUUCGUAAGUCGUGUGUGAAAGGCGCGGGCUCAACCCGCGGACGGCACAUGAUACUGCGAGACUAGAGUAAUGGAGGGGGAACCGGAAUUCUCGGUGUAGCAGUGAAAUGCGUAGAUAUCGAGAGGAACACUCGUGGCGAAGGCGGGUUCCUGGACAUUAACUGACGCUGAGGCACGAAGGCCAGGGGAGCGAAAGGGAUUAGAUACCCUAGUAGUC
RNAcentral lists this ribosomal RNA (446 nucleotides) under uncultured bacterium. RNAcentral's name for it is "partial 16S ribosomal RNA". It matches the Rfam family "Bacterial small subunit ribosomal RNA", at positions 338 to 795 of the family's 1533-position model. The record is from RNAcentral.